GCACUGCUGGAGAGUGCCAAACAGGACGAAACAGCUGUCCAGUGC
RNAcentral lists this non-coding RNA (45 nucleotides) under Echinostoma caproni. The record is from RNAcentral. Lineage: Eukaryota; Metazoa; Platyhelminthes; Trematoda; Plagiorchiida; Echinostomatidae.